UAACCCAUGUUGAUUAGAUGA
This 21-nucleotide non-coding RNA is filed under the name Caenorhabditis elegans. Lineage: Eukaryota; Metazoa; Nematoda; Chromadorea; Rhabditida; Rhabditidae. The record is from RNAcentral.